AUCCCGGCGCUGCCCACCCACCACACCGCUAGCGCCUCUGAACCUCGCCAGGCACGUCCGGUUCUGCGGCCCCCACUCCGCCCCCGCCUGCCGGGAGCCGCGCAGUUACAAAGUGCCGGGAGCCGUGCAGGGCCAGUGAACCCCUCGCUGAGACUCAGUUUGCUGCCAUCACAAGUGCUCUGAGAAUCCUGGAGAGGGAGGAUAUUGGAGACAAACGGGACUGCUGCCCGCCUUUUAGGCGACCGUUGGAGGCUGCUCUGUGCCGGACACAGGCAGGGAGGUGGAGGCCAGAUACAAGAAAACCACAGUACCAGUAAAUGACAAAGGCUGGAUCUUAACCCAAGUCCUCCGACUCUGAAGGCCAUACCCAACAGGUCCCAUUUUAUUUGUUUUACUUUUUUUUAAUUGAAGAAAAAAAAACUAGCAUUCCCCUACAGUGCCCCCCACCUGGUGGGGACAUCUUGGGUUGGCAAGGCCACCACUUUCAAGAGUAGAAGUGUUUUUCAGCAGGAGGAGUUGGCUGCACCAAAGGAGCUCA
Long non-coding RNA from Homo sapiens (human), 538 nucleotides. NCBI's taxonomy places the organism in Eukaryota, Metazoa, Chordata, Mammalia, Primates, Hominidae. The record is from Ensembl.